Molecule: ribosomal RNA, 502 nt
Filed under: uncultured Acaulospora
Lineage: Eukaryota; Fungi; Glomeromycota; Glomeromycetes; Diversisporales; Acaulosporaceae
Description: SSU rRNA
Rfam family: Eukaryotic small subunit ribosomal RNA
Source: RNAcentral
CCAAUAGCGUAUAUUAAAGUUGUUGCAGUUAAAAAGCUCGUAGUUGAAUUUCGGGAUUUAUCCGUUGGUCGGGCUUUUGGGUCUGUACUGGCGUGAUGGAUUUCUACCUUCUGAAUAACCGGCAUGUCAUUAAUUUGGUGCGCCGGGGAAGCAGGACUGUUACCUUGAAAAAAUUAGAGUGCUUAAAGCAGGCUAUUGCCUGAAUACAUUAGCAUGGAAUAAUGAAAUAGGACGGCAUGGUUCUAUUUUGUUGGUUUCUAGGAUCACCGUAAUGAUUAAUAGGGAUAGUUGGGGGCAUUAGUAUUCAAUUGUCAGAGGUGAAAUUCUUGGAUUUAUUGAAGACUAACUACUGCGAAAGCAUUUGCCAAGGAUGUUUUCAUUAAUCAAGAACGAAAGUUAGGGGAUCGAAGACGAUCAGAUACCGUCGUAGUCUUAACCAUAAACUAUGCCGACUAGGGAUCGGACGAAGUUAAUUUUAUAAUGACGCGUUCGGCACCUUACA